This 425-nucleotide ribosomal RNA is filed under the name uncultured bacterium. Its description in RNAcentral is "partial 16S ribosomal RNA". It matches the Rfam family "Bacterial small subunit ribosomal RNA", at positions 354 to 796 of the family's 1533-position model. The record is from RNAcentral.
GUUAGGAAUAUUGGACAAUGGGCGCAAGCCUGAUCCAGCCAUGCCGCGUGAGUGAUGAAGGCCUUCGGGUUGUAAAGCUCUUUAGCCGAUGAUUAUAAUGACUGUAGUCGGAAAAUAAGCCCCGGCUAACUUCGUGCCAGCAGCCGCGGUAAUACGAAGGGGGCGAGCGUUAUUCGGAAUCACUGGGCGUAAAGCGUGCGUAGGCGGCUUUGCAAGUUGGGAGUGAAAGCCCAGGGCUCAACCCUGGAAUUGCUCUCAAAACUGCAAGGCUCGAAUUCGGGAGAGGAUAGCGGAAUUGUCAGUGUAGCAGUGAAAUGCGUAGAUAUUGACAGGAACACCAGUGGCGUAAGCGGCUAUCUGGACUGAUACUGACACUGAGGUGCGAAAGCGUGGGGAGCAAACAGGAUUAGAUACCCCUGUAGUCC